AAGGGUUUAAGUUAAAUAAAAUUAAUAGUUUUCAAAAUUAUUUUUAAAGAAAACUUUUUUUAAGCCUUA
RNAcentral lists this transfer RNA (69 nucleotides) under Pidorus atratus. RNAcentral describes it as "tRNA-Trp". The record is from RNAcentral. Lineage: Eukaryota; Metazoa; Arthropoda; Insecta; Lepidoptera; Zygaenidae.